CGUAGGGUCCAAGCGUUAUCCGGAAUCACUGGGCGUAAAGCGUUUGUAGGCGGAAGUUUAAGUGAGAUGCGAAAUCUUGUGGCUCAACCACAUAGACGGUAUCUCAUACUGGGCUUCUAGAAUAUAGCAGAGGUAAGUGGAAUUAGUAGUGUAGCGGUAAAAUGCGUAGAUAUUACUAGGAACACCAAUGGCGAAGGCAGCUUACUGGGCUAUUAUUGACGCUGAGAAACGAAAGCGUGGGGAGCGAACAGGAUUAGAUACCCUGGUAGUCCACGCCGUAAACGAUGUGUGCUAUUAGUUCGAGGUAUCGACCCCUUGGGCUGAACAGCUAACGCGUUAAGCACACCGCCUGGGGAGUACGAGCGCAAGCUUA
RNAcentral lists this ribosomal RNA (373 nucleotides) under uncultured organism. RNAcentral's name for it is "bacterial SSU rRNA". It matches the Rfam family "Bacterial small subunit ribosomal RNA", at positions 526 to 896 of the family's 1533-position model. The record is from RNAcentral.